Long non-coding RNA from Leopardus geoffroyi (Geoffroy's cat), 759 nucleotides. RefSeq lists it as uncharacterized. The transcript is spliced from 3 exons. The record is from RefSeq and is a predicted model, not a curated record. Lineage: Eukaryota; Metazoa; Chordata; Mammalia; Carnivora; Felidae.
UAAUUCUCUCCCCUCCCGUGCAUUAUUUCCACCUUACCGAAUCUGGAAAGGAGGCCAAAGAAGUUGCCGAAGAAGUUGGCAUUUUCAAAGCCAAGAGCCCUUUUUCUUCUGCUGCAGGAGCCUUCUGGAUGCUGGUGUACAUCAGAGACUCGAAUGCCAAUGAGAAUAGCUAGCUAGUCAGCAGGAGAUGACCAGUCUUAACACUUCAUUGUGUUCAUAAAAUCCUGAUCAUUAGCAAAGAGGCAAUUUUAGACUUAAAGGCAGGGCUUCCUGCCUAAGAGAGAGGGCUUCCUGUCUCCUAAGAGAGACUCCACUGGGGGUGCCAUUCACCUCCCCCUCUCAAUCUUCCCUACAAUCGUGUGUGUGACAGCAAGGACUCAUGUUGACUCCUUAUCCUUUCUGUGAGCCUCAGCCAUUUGAUCAUGACGGUUUUCCUCCUAGUUGUUGAAGAUUCCUUUUCUUCAGGUGUGAGCCUUUUAAGGACGGAGCUUAGCCUGGAACCACGGGGAUAUCCUCAGAUGGACAUACCUGCAGUCUCCAGAGUGGCUUUUCCCCUGGAACGAAUAGCUCACGCUUCACUCUUGGGCAAAGGCUCCUGCUGCUCAUAAACAUAUGACCAUGGCCUACAUGCACGCUGCAGGUGGUGGCACAAGCCCAGUUCCUGGUCCUUAACUUCCCUUCUGAAUGUAACUUCAUGUCUCCCCCCCUUGGGAAAGAGGUUAAAAACCAAAAAUAAAGUAGUGUCAUGAGUGCCCUGAA